Molecule: RNA transcript, 6739 nt
Organism: Felis catus (domestic cat)
Lineage: Eukaryota; Metazoa; Chordata; Mammalia; Carnivora; Felidae
Gene: GDAP2
Gene name: ganglioside induced differentiation associated protein 2
Exons: 16
Source: RefSeq, a predicted model, not a curated record
ACGUACGUGUGGGCUGUGGUUGGUGAGGGCCGGCCGGUAGCGGAAGCCGUGUUCGCCACUCAAAGCUCUUCCAGCUGGUCACUCCAGCCUCCUGGGACUUUGCCUCACCUGAUCGCCGAGCUCCUGGCCGGGGGUGUCUGGGGAUGCCGCUCGGCCGCUUUCUGCGAGGAGCUUAACCCGCCCCACUGCCGCCCGGAUGGGACCGCCGGAGUGCGGCUGAAGUCUCCAGUGAAUAUUGAAUUGCUGAGAAAUUUGGGGAAAGACCAGCUGAAGUUCCCAUUCCAUGGAUCCCUUGGGUGCCCCUUCCCAGUUUGUGGAUGUGGAUACGCUACCCAGCUGGGGCGACUCAUGUGAAGAUGAAUUAAAUACUUCCGAUACUGCAGCUGAAACAUUACAAGAAAAUACUGUUAGAUCACCUUUUCUUUACGACAAGGAUAUCAGCGGGAAAGUGAUUCUUUGGAAAGGAGACGUGGCAUUACUGAACUGUACGGCCAUUGUGAAUACCAGCAAUGAAAGUCUUACAGAUAAGAACCCUGUGUCAGAGAGUAUCUUCAUGCUCGCAGGACCCGAUUUGAAGGAGGACCUCCAGAAACUUAAGGGUUGCCGGACAGGUGAAGCAAAAUUGACGAAAGGAUUUAAUCUAGCUGCCCGGUUCAUCAUUCACACAGUGGGACCUAAGUACAAGAGCCGCUAUCGCACCGCUGCUGAGAGCUCCCUGUACAGCUGCUACAGAAACGUGCUUCAGCUGGCAAAAGAGCAGUCAAUGUCAUCUGUUGGAUUCUGUGUCAUCAAUUCUGCAAAACGAGGUUAUCCUUUAGAGGAUGCAACACACAUAGCACUUCGCACUGUAAGGAGAUUCCUGGAGAUUCAUGGGGAGACCAUUGAAAAAGUAGUAUUUGCUGUCUCUGAACUUGAAGAGGCUACUUACCAAAAGCUGCUACCUCUGUACUUCCCAAGGUCAUUAAAGGAGGAAUGUCGAUCAUUGCCAUACCUACCUGCAGAUAUUGGAAAUGCAGAAGGGGAGCCUGUGGUACCUGAACGACAGAUUAGAAUAAGUGAAAAACCUGGUGCCCCGGAGGACAACCAAGAAGAGGAGGCUGAAGGCUUGGGAGUAGAUCUCUCUUUCAUCGGCUCUCAUGCUUUUGCUCGAAUGGAAGGAGAUAUUGAUAAGCAGAGAAGACUGAUCCUUCAGGGCCAGUUAUCAGAGGCAGCCCUGCAGAAGCAGCAUCAGAGAAAUUAUAAUCGCUGGUUGUGUCAAGCAAGAUCUGAGGAUCUAUCUGAUAUUGCUUCUCUAAAAGCCUUAUACCAAACAGGUGUUGAUAACUGUGGGCGCACAGUGAUGGUGGUAGUUGGAAGAAACAUUCCUGUCACAUUAAUAGAUAUGGACAAGGCUCUCUUAUAUUUCAUCCAUGUAAUGGAUCACAUUGCUGUGAAGGAAUAUGUAUUAGUAUAUUUUCACACACUGACCAGUGAAUACAAUCACCUGGACUCUGACUUCCUGAAGAAACUCUACGAUGUUGUUGAUGUCAAAUACAAGAGGAAUUUGAAGGCUGUUUAUUUUGUUCAUCCAACGUUUCGUUCAAAGGUAUCAACAUGGUUUUUUACCACCUUUUCUGUCUCAGGACUGAAGGACAAAAUCCACCAUGUGGACAGCCUCCACCAGCUAUUUUCUGCCAUAUCACCAGAACAGAUUGAUUUUCCACCUUUUGUCCUUGAAUAUGAUGCCAGGGAAAAUGGGCCUUACUAUACAUCUUAUCCCCCAUCACCAGAUUUGUGACCUGCCAUCUUUUAGCGCUACUGGUUUCCAGGGACGUCACUUUCUCCACGAAUUGCUACCUAUUGAAGUGAUAUUCAUUUUUGCUCUUCAGAUCCAGAGAGCCUUUUGUCCCCACCUCUCUGGUAUUUUUUUAUUGACUGUAUAUUUUCUGGCACAUAAGCAAUCUGAAAAUGCCUCUUUUCCCCAUCUGCAAGAUCUUUAAGUUCAAUGAAUGUAUGGCUCUCCAUCAAGAUAGAAAAGAUGUCCUCUCUGCCUUAUCCUGUAGCCCAGCAUUGGAAAAUUGUUCCGGCUUCACAUUACAGAUAAGGCCCAGUUUUACCUGCUUUUCUCCAGUUUUAGCAGCCUGUUACUUGAUUUGGGUUGUAAGCCCUACUUCAAGUUAUUUUUCCUCUUUCUCUUAUUAAAGGCAAAUAAGAUCAAUUCAUUAUAACUUUGGAUGGAAUGGCCUCUCGUCUUUGAAUUUAAAAAAAAAAAUCCAAAUUUAUUUUUUUAUAAGGAGGUAUCCAAAGCAUUUGACCAUUUCAUUAGGUCUUCUAGUUGAGAUGCGUCUGACAUUUUCAUUUUGACAUGCUUAUUGUAAAUGAUAACAUUGGUUUAACACAUUGUCUUAGGUGGGUUGGUAUCUGUGAAUUUUAUUUCUAAUAACAAAGUAAGUGUUAAAACUUACUAUGAAAGGGGCAUAGGUUCUCAAACAGAUGGGGAAGUAGAGGGCCAGGCAGGUUAAGGCAGCAACGUUGCGCUCACAGCCAGAUCAUGGCGAUAGUAGGUAGUUUCAGGAUGACCUUGCUAUCUAUAGCUGGAGCCCUUUGGUUUAACUAUGUUUGCACGGCCCCUUGCCUUUGACAUUCCCUCUGAGACCUCUAAACAAGUUUUGUUUUGUUUUUUUUUAAUUUAUUAUUUAUCAUUUAUUUUUUUUUAUCUAAGUUGCACUUGCUCAGCCAAGUUCCCCGGGAGGACCAGAGUUCAAGAAUUAGCAGCAGAGUUAUCAGUCAGCUUAAAGUUAGGGGUCUCUGAUCAUAGAUCACACACCAGUGAGUCUGGGAGAAGAAGUGGAGGUGAAAGGUCAGAUUUCUGAGCAUCCUAAAUUCUGCCUCACAGUCCUUUACAGAAACUGUGUUCCUGCCUUGCAUAUUUAAAGCCAUCAGUAGGCAGUGAUAACCUCAGAGAGAGGCUGAAAUAGUGUGGAGGUAAAUUGUAAUAACUAGUAUUUAUAAUCCUUUACCACAGGCCAGGCAGUAUUCUAAAUAGAUGAACACAUUUGAUUCUCCCAACAAUCCUGGGAGGCUAGGACCUUUGUUAUCCCCACUCUACAGAUGAGGAAACUGAGGCACAAAGAGAAUUAAGGCCUGAGUCAUGUUAGUGGCAGGGCCAGGAUUUGAACCUGGUGUCAAAGUAUCCAGGCCUCCAGUUUGCCAACUAAUAGUGGCAGGCAGUUACUUUCUUAAGGAUACCUGUGAAUUGGUGGUGGGAUCAAUGGGAAUUCAGACUCUUAGGCUCCCCACACAGCUUUGUGAACCCCACAGCCAGUGUUAAAGGCUGUUGAAGUAUUUAAUGUUGAGCUUUAUACAAAGUAACCAAGAAUGUGCUAGCAACUAAAUGAGAAUAUGUAUUUGAUCUUAGAACUGAGUAUUUUGUCCUGUCAUUUAACAUUUAUUUGCCCUUUGUAUGACAAGAUUUGUCUUGGCAACCACCCAUAUAACUGCAUGUCCCAGUAUGACAAGAAAUGGGCAUUCUCCUGUGGUAACUUGGAACAGAAUGUUCCUGAUAUGGAGAGACUAGGUUCCAGGGUUAAAUGUAUAGUUACAGUCAGAAAAAAAACAGGUAUUUGGUACACCAGGACUCUAGGGUUACUCAUUUGUUCUCUUUGGACAACUUCCAGAUGUGCUUUGGCCAAAUUCAUCAGAAAGAUGAUUUUCUCUUCAUCUCUGCCCCAUUCCCUGUAUUAGAGACCGGAACCUUAGCUACACAAAUUCAUGUUGGACGUAGGACUCAAGCUGAGCUGCAAAACAUACUUGUUUCCAUUGUUUCCACUAUCUUUAGUUUUUUCAGCAUGAAUUUCCACGCCGCAUGUGAAGAACAAGCCUUUCAUUCAGACCUCAAGGUUCCAACAAUAGGGCCCCAGCCCAUUUUUACAGCCUCGUCUUUUUCCCACUACUUUCCUUCACCUCCAACACAUUGGGCUGACUCCUGGCAGAGUUUCUGCAGCUCUGAACUUCUACUGUUCCUCUGAGUAUCCUUUAAGCCCUGUCAUAAACCCUAUCCUCCAGGAAACCUCCACCAGUUCUCCUAACUUCAUUGAUCUCCCCCACCCUGAACUUGAUCCCUAUUUGAAGGCCCUUACUGUUAACCUCCCUGGUAAAAGGAUCCUUUGUGUUCCUGUCCCGUGCCCCAUGUUCCUCCCGUGGAGGAGUGUGUGGCUUACAAUACCUUUCUUAAACAGCCUCGCUCUGCUUUGUGCCUUGCCUGAUGUGUAUGUACAUUGUGAGGGGACAUGUCAUCGAUAUCCAAUGUUAACCAGAGAAGGAAUCUUAGAGAUUCACUUGUCUCACCUUUUCAUUUUAUAGAUGAGAAAAAGAUGUGUGCAAAGGUCAACCACCCAAGGUCAUUGGUGACAUGGUGGCAGAGCCAGGCCUCUUGGCUCCCUGUACAUUACGAUCCUUCUAAAAUGUGGAGGGUCACAUGAUGUCAAGGGAGAAUAUUUGGGGGUUGUGAAAUUGUAUGGACUGUUUAUAUCCUGAUGGGAAUAAUAGAGCAGAGAGGGGAAAUUGAUGAUAAAAUUUUUGCAGGGGGGAAAUUGUUGAGUAUGUGAGAGGGGAUAGAAUCUGGUGCAGGACUUCGAAAAUAUCCUGGACACUUUACCCAUUGCGACAGUAGGGGACACUGAGUAUGUGGGUGUAGUUGUAGGUAUAUUGGUAGAUAAUCAAGAGAAUGUGGACAUUUUUUCUUGAACUCUCCUGUUUUUUUCUUUUGAUUAAGAGAUAGGGUUUUUAGCUGAAAAUGAGGAAGAGGGAAAAGGUUUUAGAGGUUUGAAAUGAGAAGAGAGAAAAGUUGUCUGGGGAGUGGAAAAAGGAAUCAGUGAAGGAAUUCUAGCAUGAUUGUGGUCAGCACUUACCACUUGAGGUUUGUGGUCAAGCAGUGUUUCCCAGGCUAUUGGCCCUCUGGACAUUUAGCAUCUCUGGCCCUUAGUAAUACCCCUCACUGAUUGUGAUGAUCAAAAGAACUCCCGGUCACAUUUCCAAACGCCCCCUAGGGGACUGAUCUAUUCCUAAUUGAGAAAAACUAGGACACCAGUCACAAAGAAGCAUGCUUUUCUGUAGUCACAUUCACCUGCCGGCAGGAAGUAGGCAGAAAUCUGAAUUUAGGACUCUUGGGGUUUGAGUCAAGAACAUGGGCAGGAGAAGAGGGGGAGGGGGAUUGAGGGUAUAUGUAAUGGAGUGAUUGUAACAGUCAGAUUUUCUGAGCGACAGAAGGCCCGCGGCUGGCUCAAAGCAACUCAGGAACACCCCAGUGGUGGAGGAUUUCUAGCGACCAUUCAGGGGCUUUUGGAUAUGUGUCCAAUUUCUGGCUAUUACAAGUAAAGUGUUAUGAACAUUCUGGUACAUAUGUUUGGGUGGACGUAUACAUUCGUUUCUCUUGGGAAUAUAGCCAGAGUGGACUUGAUGGGUCAUAGGAAACAUGUUCAUUUAGCUCUAUUAAAAACUGCUGCUCAUCUGUUUAAAAGUUACAUGUACCUCUACCUAUGAUUCAGUCAUUCCAUUUAUCCAAGAGAAAACAAGGCAUAUGUCCACACAAAGACCUGUACAUUAGUGUUCAGGGCUGCUUUAUUUGUAAUAGUAGAGAACUGGAAACAGCACAGCUGUUCAUCAACAGGUGCAUAGAUCAACAAAUGGGGUACAGCUGUACAAUGGAAUACUACUCAGCAAUAAAAAACAAUAGCUAAGUCAACAUGGAUGAAUUCUAAAAUCAAUAUGUGAGUAAAAGAACUGGGUACAAAAAUACCUACUCUGUGAUUCCAUGAAUAUAAAAUCCUAGAGAAGACAAACUGAUCCAUAGUGAUAGAAAGCAGAUCAGCGGUUGCCUAAGUAUCAAGUGGUGGGGAAUAGAGAGAAGGAAUGGGUUCCAAAAAGCACUAGGAAAUUUCUGGGGGUGGUGGACAUGUUUAUUUUCUUGACUGUGGCAAUUGCUUCAUGGGUACAUACAUAUGUACAACUCACCAAGUUAUACACGACAAAAAUAUGCAAUUUAUUGUAUAUGAAUUACACCUCAGAGCUACUAAAAAAAAAUUAACCUACCGAAUGGUUUUCCAAAGCGGUUGAACCAAUCUGUACUCCAUCAACAGCGUGUGAGAAUUCUAGUUGUCUACCACAUUGUUGCCAACAUUUGGUUCUAAUCAGUCCUUUUAAUUUUGGUGGUAGUGUGGCGGUAUCACAUUUUUGGUUUUCAUUUGCAUUUUCCUGAUCAAAUGACAUUGAGCACCUUUUCAUCUGCACAUGGGUCAUUUGAAUAUCCUCUUCUGUUAAAUGCCAACUUCAAGUGUUUUCCCAUUUGUCUGUUGCAUUCUUAGUCUUUUGAUUUGUAGGUCUUUGGGUAUUUGGAUGAGGCCCUUGUCAUGACAGGGAGGGAGGGAGUUCUCCUCUCAGUCUGUCACCUCCCUUUUGACUCUCUGAAUGUUGUCUUUUGAUGAAGAGUUCUUAAUUUUAAUGGAAUCCAAUUUAUUAAAUAUUUCUCUUGUUUAGUGGUUUGUACAUCUUGUCUUAAAAAUGUUUGCCUACCUAAAGUUGUAGAGAUACCGUCUGUGGUUUUGUUUUGUUUUGUUUUGUUUUGUUUUGUUUUGUUUUGUUUUCUGGUAGCAUAUUGCUUUAACAAUCAUAUAUACAUGUCUAUGUUUUUAAAAAAAUUUUUUUGGUAUACUGUGAAAUAGAGUGUGAAAUAAAGGAUCAAUGAACCUUUUACUUUAAGGGA